GUGCCAGCCGCCGCGGUAAUACGUAGGGUGCGAGCGUUGUCCGGAAUUACUGGGCGUAAAGAGCUCGUAGGUGGUUUGUCGCGUUGUUCGUGAAAUCUCACGGCUUAACUGUGAGCGUGCGGGCGAUACGGGCAGACUAGAGUACUGCAGGGGACACUGGAAUUCCUGGUGUAGCGGUGGAAUGCGCAGAUAUCAGGAGGAACACCGGUGGCGAAGGCGGGUCUCUGGGCAGUWACUGACGCUGAGGAGCGAAAGCGUGGGGAGCGAACAGGAUUAGAUACCCUGGUAGUCCACGCCGUAAACGGUGGGUACUAGGUGUGGGUUUCCUUCCUUGGGAUCCGUGCCGUAGCUAACGCAUUAAGUACCCCGCCUGGGGAGUACGGCCGCAAGGCUAAAACUCAAAGGAAUUGACGG
This 414-nucleotide ribosomal RNA is filed under the name uncultured organism. RNAcentral describes it as "SSU rRNA". It matches the Rfam family "Bacterial small subunit ribosomal RNA", at positions 505 to 916 of the family's 1533-position model. The record is from RNAcentral.